CAAUUUCAUCUGGCUCUCCUCGGUAGAAGUAUUUUUGAGAUAGAGAGCUAAGAUCAGCUAAUUUGUCAGCAUUAUAAAGCAGUAUCUUGUCCUCAUAGUUCUUGUCUCUCACUGAAACUUUCCAGCAGCGGCCGCUGACAUAUGAACUUCACCAAUGAAGAUGCCACCACCGCACGGCUAUUUCUUGACUGCCCUGCUGAGGGCUUAGAAGAAAUGGGGCCAGACAAUCAUGGAUUGGAACCUUUGAAGCCGUGAGCCAAGAUAAAACUCCCUACCUCAGAACCCUUGACAGCCAUGUGUCAGAGAAGCAGACCACCCGAAGCUUGGAACUGGCUUGGAUUUGAUCUCCAACUGUCUGCCAAGCUUCUGCAUGGCUCCCCAGACAAGCCUUAUGUUUGAGGCUCCUAGGACGACCUCUGGAUGGGAGGCAUUUUGUCACUGAUAUGCGAUCCCUGACAAGACAGGAGAAAAAGGCGAAAAGGACCAUGUAUCUCAGGGUUUCAGUCUAUCACAGUGGGGAACGGGCGUGAAGCGGGCCAAUAAAAUAUGGCUGGCAACCAAGGAACCAAUGCAGCAAGGUGAGCUCCCAAGGGUACCCUUUCUGUGGCUUCCUUUUUCCAACCAGGCCCAACCUCUUCUUUUCCUCAGCUUCCAAUAACACUGUCACACUAUAAAGCAAUUGGUGGAUUAGUCCAUUGAUUAACUCAAAACCUUCAGGAUCCCACCACUUGUCAAGGCCCACCCAUCAGCUAAUAACCAAGUUCCCUUCUAUUUGAACCACAGCCGUUGGUGAUAGACUCCAUCUUGGCUUUACUGGUUUCCGAAGGAAUCUUUGUUACAGCUUCUCCUGACGUCACUGGGCCUCCUCUAGGAACAGCUGCUGAACUGGUUCAAUGGAUCUGUGGUUGUGACAGAAGCAACGGAUGGAGAGAGAUGUUCAUUUUGGCUCGCAGUUCAGGAGUACAGUCUGUAAUUGUGGGUAGGUCACAGUGGCUGCGAUGGGUCAGUCUGUGGUGUGCAGGUGUGUGCAUAGGAGAUGGGAUCACGGGGAGUGUACGGGGUUUCCCAUAGUAGCAUCCAAACCUCCCUUCAGGAGGAUCCCAGGAUCUGAGGGAGUUGGAGGUAGAAGACUGACCAAGCCCAGUGGCAAGGCUUGUUACCAUUGGACCAGAAGCUCCUGCUUCUGCCUGGUCCCAGCAAAAGCAGAGAGGAGCCAGACCCUAGGGAUGAGCACUAAAGUUUCUUAACAAACACACCAGCAAGCAUUGGGUAGCCACUGAGAAAAUUUCCCAACUCCACUCAGGUGCUGACCUAGUAGAGCCAUUCUAACAUGUCCCCAGGGGAUUGAAUCAAUUACAUUUGUGUGCGUGUGCCCGUGUGUCUGCACAUGCAUGUGUAUGUGUAUGUGUUGUGGUGCAGUUCAGAGGACAAUUUACAGGAGUCUGUUCUCCUUUUCCGCCAGGCAGGGGUCAGACUCAGAGAACCAGGCUUGCUCCCUUACUGAGCCAUCUCACUGUCCCUAGGAAUUGAAUCCAGCAGAACCUGCUGAUACUUGGAGCUAAGCCAUCCACCUGGGAUGGCAGAGCAGGAAGAGGUGCGAUGGGGUAAGGUGGUAGCCAGGGCCCCAGGCUUUGGGCCCUGGAAGGUGACCCUCCAGCACAGCAGACACUCAUUCCCAAAUGUGUACCAGGUCCCUCUUUGCCAGCAAUCAUUAGGUUCAGAAAGCUCAGAGGGCCUGGUGCCCCCAACAAGUCAGCCGCCUCAGCCACCAUCUGCUCCUCAGAACUAGCAGAUCUCACAAGCAGCCUGUGGCUGAAACCAGUGCCAGAUUCUCCUGCCGUGGCUGUGGCUGUGGAGAGAGGCAGAGGGCGCUAACACGGGCCCUGGAUCAUGUUCUGGGGAGGUUGAUGCUGCCUGACCCUUUCCGGAAGGGCACAAGCAGUACUGGCAGAGCCCUCCCCACCUCUGGCUUGACCCUUGCUUAAUCUCAAACCUGGAGGUUGGUGUUCUAAUCCCACAGUGAUGCCCAGAGCUUGGGUAGAAAUGAUUGCAAGGUAAUAUGUUUUGCUUUCAGAGAGUAAAUUAAAACGAAGACUUCUGAUUUUAAGAAGCAAAACAUAAAACCUGAUUCCUAAAUAAACCCCCUUCCGUCCUGCCAUUAACACUGCUUCUUGUUUGUGAUAGGGGGCGGGCUCAACGGACCUGCCAAUCAACUACUGCUUUCAUUCCUGACAGACCUAGGGGAAGAGCAGAUCCCAUUUCUGUGCUAGCUAGAGAGCUAUGCAAUAGUGGCACAAGUCAGUGAAUACAAACUGUGCAGCCUCCUCCUCCCCCGUGCCUUUCCCAGCAGAGCCCAGUGCAUAACAAGUACUACACUAAUAAGUUCAUCAUGGGGUCAGUUCUGAACUGGGCUGACUCCUCGGCUCCCAGGCCUGGGAAAGCAAGAGAGACUUGUUCACUCACUGACCUCAGAUGAAAAUUUGAUAAACUGCUGAUGCCUUUGGUUAUUUAUGAGUUAUUACAUGCAUAUAAAUGAACAUAUUUUACUAGUUGUACAAAUUACAUUUUAUCGGUGUGAAACAUGCAUUUCAUUCCACAGGCUGCUGACCUGGCUAAAGAUGAAGUCUUUUUGAAUGCUAUUAGAGUUGGUGUUCGCGAGUACAUAUUUGACCCUUGAGGGUUCUCCUGAGAAUCCCAGGGUCUAUCACUGCAGACUGACCCAGCUCCAGUGAACAAACAGAAGUCUAGGGCAGGAAAGCCCCGCCCUCUCAAGCCCCGCCCU
This 2782-nucleotide small RNA is filed under the name Rattus norvegicus (Norway rat). Its description in RNAcentral is "uncharacterized LOC103691599". Lineage: Eukaryota; Metazoa; Chordata; Mammalia; Rodentia; Muridae. The record is from RNAcentral.